CUUACAUUUUGUAAGUGGCUGAUGGUGGUAUGGAUCCUUGGUACGGAGGAGGAUGGUCGUUGGUAUUAAACGGAUUUGGUUCAAUGGUCGGCACAGGAGGUUUCUUAGAAUGUGCCGGAGGUGGUGCAAAGGUCGGCCCAGGAGGUUCCUUAGAAUACGCCGGAGGAGGGGCAAAGGUCGGCGCAGGACUGUAAUUCGACGGUUGUGGGUUGGCAUUGGUCAUGUACAUUGAAGAACCGGUCAUGUACAUUGACUGCUGGCCCAUAUUUAAGGCCGACUGGCAAACCAUACCGUUUGGGUAUCUGGUAACGGUCAUGUUCGGGGCACCAUAGCCUUGAAACGUAGUGCUAUUCGUAAUGUUGAAUCCAUCGUCAGUGCAGUAGUGCGUGUGGUAUUGGUAAGCAUGGCCACAAUGAUUGACCGGAAUAUUUUUACAAUUCGGACAUUUCUGUGAUACGUUGCCGGUGUCAACUGUGCCUGGCACGAUUUGGAAUGGCGUAUGACCGGUGUAGUAGCCCCCUGGUCCCGGUGAAAUGUAUCCGCCCACCUGGCCGGUGUGAGGGUUUAUUGGACGACCG
Dreissena polymorpha is the source of this 578-nucleotide long non-coding RNA. RefSeq lists it as uncharacterized. The transcript has 2 exons. Lineage: Eukaryota; Metazoa; Mollusca; Bivalvia; Myida; Dreissenidae. The record is from RefSeq and is a predicted model, not a curated record.